CCCUUAGACGUUCUGGGCCGCACGAGCGCUACACUGACCAGUGCAACAAGCAUCCGUCCUUGGCCGACAGGCCCGGGCAAUCUUUGAACGCUGGUCGUGAUGGGGAUAGACUUUUGCAAUUUUUGGUCUUCAACGAGGAAUUCCUAGUAAACGCAAGUCAUCAACUUGCAUUGAUUACGUCCCUGCCCUUUGUACACACCGCCCGUCGCACCUACCGAUUGAAUGGUCCGGUGAAGCCUCCGGAUUGGCGCGCACCUCGGUGCCGCCGAGAAGUUGGCUAAACCUUACCAUUUAGAGGAAGGUGAAGUCGUAACA
Molecule: ribosomal RNA, 315 nt
Filed under: uncultured eukaryote
Lineage: Eukaryota
Description: partial 18S ribosomal RNA
Rfam family: Eukaryotic small subunit ribosomal RNA
Source: RNAcentral